GCGCGAAAACUUUACAAUGCGGGAAACCGUGAUAAGGGGACACCGAGUGCCAGCAUCAUAUGCUGGCUGUCCGGAUGUGUAAAAUACAUCCGUUAGCAAGGGCCGGGCAAGACCGGUGC
This 119-nucleotide ribosomal RNA is filed under the name uncultured Methanosarcina sp. RNAcentral describes it as "partial 16S ribosomal RNA". It matches the Rfam family "Archaeal small subunit ribosomal RNA", at positions 339 to 458 of the family's 1478-position model. The record is from RNAcentral. Lineage: Archaea; Methanobacteriati; Methanobacteriota; Methanomicrobia; Methanosarcinales; Methanosarcinaceae.